AUGGGACACCUCUCCAUGAAGCAUCCUUGGAGUGGGCACAAAUGGGGCUUGGGGAUUGAUGGACACAUGGUGUUGCUAGGGCUGGGGGCUUUGAGGACACACGGAACAUCACUCCAUGGAGCACCUCUGGGGUGGGUGAAAAGGUUUUUUUGGGACAAACAGACACACGUUGGCUUGAGCUGCUGGGGCUUUUGUGGGGACGUGGGCCAUCUCCUCACGGAGCAUUUUGCAGUGAAUGGUGAGAAAGACGUUCAGGAGUCACUGACGCACCCCGUCCUCCCCAACCCACAGAAAAAAGGACCUCGGGUACCCCCCCCACCCCAUCGCCAUCCCCAUCGCCAUCCCCAUCGCCAUCCCCAUCGCCAUCCCCAUCGCCAUCCCCAUCGCCAUCCCCAUCGCCAUCCCCACCUCUGGCGUUGCCGCAGUCAAGCUUCAGCCAGACGAGCCAGCGCUUGCCAUGGGCGAGCGGCCGCUGCCGCAGGCUGGCCAGCGCCUCGGGGCGGUCCAGCAGCAUGUGGAAGGCAUCGAGGCGCUGCGCCAGCCCCGCGCACUCCUCCAGACGCGCGGUGGGCAGCGGGUAGGCCAGCAGGAUGUCAUCGAAGCCGCCGUCCGCGAAGAAACGCGCUUCGGCCAACGUGGAGACGGCGAUGCCGCGGCGCGUGCCUCCGGUGGCCAGCAAACCGCCCUCCCUUCAGGCGCCAUCCGUGGGGUGAGGUGAUAUCGGUGGGAACGAUGGGGACGUUGGGGACAAAGGGUGUGGGUGGCACUCACAGCGUCUUGUGGGUCUUGACGUGGGGCCGCAGGCGGACGCCCAGGGUCCGGCAGCGCUCCCGCAUGCGCUCAGCGUUGCGCCGUGCCGUGGCGCGGUCGACGGUCAGCGCCGGGGUGGGCAGCGCGUCCAGGCGGGCACCCAGCCACAUGGUUGCGCUUCUGGGGGCACUUUUGGGGGGGUUGUGGGGUGGCCGGCCCCCACGCUCAACCUGCAAGCUGAGGGAGUGGGGGUGGGGGUGCUGGGGGGUCCCGGUGGGAUGGGUGAGGCAGCUGGCAGUCUGGGAGCAGGGAUAUCUGGGACAAGGACAGCUGGAGCGUCUGCGUCACCUGGUUCAGGGGUACCUGGGUUUGGGAUACCAGGAGACAGAAGCAGCUGUGACAUUAGGAACAGGAACACCUAGGGACAGGGACACCUGGAAGAUCGAGAACAGGAACACUGGGGGAUAUGGACCUGCUAUGUUGGGACACCUGGGUUACCUGGGUCACCUGGGUGAGGGACACUUGGGACACUAA
Molecule: long non-coding RNA, 1284 nt
Filed under: Numida meleagris (helmeted guineafowl)
Lineage: Eukaryota; Metazoa; Chordata; Aves; Galliformes; Numididae
Description: lncRNA (ENSNMEG00000005265.1)
Source: RNAcentral